This 465-nucleotide ribosomal RNA is filed under the name uncultured bacterium. Its description in RNAcentral is "partial 16S ribosomal RNA". It matches the Rfam family "Bacterial small subunit ribosomal RNA", at positions 338 to 795 of the family's 1533-position model. The record is from RNAcentral.
CCUACGGGUGGCAGCAGUGGGGAAUAUUGCGCAAUGGGCGAAAGCCUGACGCAGCGACGCCGCGUGAGGGAUGAAGGUCUUCGGAUCGUAAACCUCUGUCAGCAGGGAAGAACGGUCACUGUGCUAAUCAGCAGUGAAUUGACGGUACCUGCAAAGGAAGCACCGGCUAACUCCGUGCCCGCAGCCGCGGUAAUACGGAGGGUGCGAGCGUUAAUCGGAAUUACUGGGCGUAAAGCGCUCGUAGGCGGUAUGUCAAGUCAAGGGUGAAAUCCCCGCGCUCAACGUGGGAACUGCCGUUGAAACUGGCAAACUGGAGUGUGUGAGAGGAUAGUGGAAUUCCAGGUGUAGGAGUGAAAUCCGUAGAUAUCUGGAGGAACAUCAGUGGCGAAGGCAGCCUGCUGGACUGUAACUGACGCUGAUGCUCGAAAGUGUGGGUAUCAAACAGGAUUAGAUACCCUUGUAGUC